RNAcentral lists this ribosomal RNA (250 nucleotides) under uncultured bacterium. RNAcentral describes it as "partial 16S ribosomal RNA". It matches the Rfam family "Bacterial small subunit ribosomal RNA", at positions 524 to 773 of the family's 1533-position model. The record is from RNAcentral.
UACAGAGGUCUCAAGCGUUGUUCGGAUUUAUUGGGCGUAAAGGGUGCGUAGGCGGCGGAGUAAGUUGGGUGUGAAAUCCCGGGGCUCAACCUCGGAAUUGCAUUCAAUACUGCUUCGCUCGAGUACUGGAGAGGAGGCUGGAAUUUACGGUGUAGCAGUGAAAUGCGUAGAUAUCGUAAGGAAGGCCGGUGGCGAAAGCGAGCCUCUGGACAGUUACUGACGCUGAUGCACGAAGGCCAGGGGAGCAAAC